Molecule: non-coding RNA, 119 nt
Organism: Pteropus alecto (black flying fox)
Lineage: Eukaryota; Metazoa; Chordata; Mammalia; Chiroptera; Pteropodidae
Source: Rfam
GUCUAUGGCCGUGCUACCCUGAACAAGCCUGAUCCUGUCUGAUUUCAGAAGUUAAGCAGGGUCAAGCCUGGUUAGUACUUGGAUGGGAAAUCACCUAGGAAGACCAGGUGCUGUAGGCA